AUGGGGCGGCUGGGGAAGUUCGAGAUAAAGCGGAUCGACGACGCGACCAGCAGGCAGGUGUGCUACUCCAAGCGGCGGUCGGGGAUCAUGAAGAAGGCGCGGGAGCUCGCCGUGCUCUGCGACGCCCAGGUCGCCGUCAUCGUGCUCUCCUCCUCCGGCAAGCACCACCACUUCUGCAGCGACGGCGCCGACAUCAAGGGGGUCUUCGACCGCUACCAGCAGGCCACCGGGACCAGCCUGUGGACCGAGCAGUAUGAGAAUAUGCAGCGCACCCUGAGCCAGCUCAAGGACAUCAACCGGAACCUGCGCACCGAGAUCAGGCAAAGGAUGGGUGAGGAUCUGGACGCGCUGGAGUUCCAGGAGCUGCGCGGGCUCGAGCAAAAUGUCGGCGCCGCUCUCGAGGUGGUUCGCCAGAGGAAGUAUCAUGUGAUCACCAGGCAGACUGAAACCUACAAGAAGAAGGUGAAGCACUCCGAGGAGGUGUACAAGAAACUGAAGCAGGAGCUGAGCAUGCGCGAGGACCCGGCGUUCGGGUUCAUGGACAACCCGGUGAUGGGCGGGUGGGACGGCGUGGCGGCGGUGGAGAUGGGCGGCGACGGCUCGGAGGCGGACAUGUACGCCUUCCACGCGGUGUCCAGCCAGCUCGAUCUGCACGGCAUGGCCUACGGCAGCUCCCACUGCCCGCUCUUCGGUUAA
RNAcentral lists this ribosomal RNA (696 nucleotides) under Triticum aestivum (bread wheat). RNAcentral's name for it is "partial small subunit ribosomal RNA". Lineage: Eukaryota; Viridiplantae; Streptophyta; Magnoliopsida; Poales; Poaceae. The record is from RNAcentral.